Molecule: ribosomal RNA, 1549 nt
Filed under: Serratia marcescens
Lineage: Bacteria; Pseudomonadati; Pseudomonadota; Gammaproteobacteria; Enterobacterales; Yersiniaceae
Description: bacterial SSU rRNA
Rfam family: Bacterial small subunit ribosomal RNA
Source: RNAcentral
UUAAUUGAAGAGUUUGAUCAUGGCUCAGAUUGAACGCUGGCGGCAGGCUUAACACAUGCAAGUCGAGCGGUAGCACAGGGGAGCUUGCUCCCUGGGUGACGAGCGGCGGACGGGUGAGUAAUGUCUGGGAAACUGCCUGAUGGAGGGGGAUAACUACUGGAAACGGUAGCUAAUACCGCAUAACGUCGCAAGACCAAAGAGGGGGACCUUCGGGCCUCUUGCCAUCAGAUGUGCCCAGAUGGGAUUAGCUAGUAGGUGGGGUAAUGGCUCACCUAGGCGACGAUCCCUAGCUGGUCUGAGAGGAUGACCAGCCACACUGGAACUGAGACACGGUCCAGACUCCUACGGGAGGCAGCAGGGGAAUAUUGCACAAUGGGCGCAAGCCUGAUGCAGCCAUGCCGCGUGUGUGAAGAAGGCCUUCGGGUUGUAAAGCACUUUCAGCGAGGAGGAAGGUGGUGAGCUUAAUACGUUCAUCAAUUGACGUUACUCGCAGAAGAAGCACCGGCUAACUCCGUGCCAGCAGCCGCGGUAAUACGGAGGGUGCAAGCGUUAAUCGGAAUUACUGGGCGUAAAGCGCACGCAGGCGGUUUGUUAAGUCAGAUGUGAAAUCCCCGGGCUCAACCUGGGAACUGCAUUUGAAACUGGCAAGCUAGAGUCUCGUAGAGGGGGGUAGAAUUCCAGGUGUAGCGGUGAAAUGCGUAGAGAUCUGGAGGAAUACCGGUGGCGAAGGCGGCCCCCUGGACGAAGACUGACGCUCAGGUGCGAAAGCGUGGGGAGCAAACAGGAUUAGAUACCCUGGUAGUCCACGCUGUAAACGAUGUCGAUUUGGAGGUUGUGCCCUUGAGGCGUGGCUUCCGGAGCUAACGCGUUAAAUCGACCGCCUGGGGAGUACGGCCGCAAGGUUAAAACUCAAAUGAAUUGACGGGGGCCCGCACAAGCGGUGGAGCAUGUGGUUUAAUUCGAUGCAACGCGAAGAACCUUACCUACUCUUGACAUCCAGAGAACUUUCCAGAGAUGGAUUGGUGCCUUCGGGAACUCUGAGACAGGUGCUGCAUGGCUGUCGUCAGCUCGUGUUGUGAAAUGUUGGGUUAAGUCCCGCAACGAGCGCAACCCUUAUCCUUUGUUGCCAGCGGUUCGGCCGGGAACUCAAAGGAGACUGCCAGUGAUAAACUGGAGGAAGGUGGGGAUGACGUCAAGUCAUCAUGGCCCUUACGAGUAGGGCUACACACGUGCUACAAUGGCAUAUACAAAGAGAAGCGACCUCGCGAGAGCAAGCGGACCUCAUAAAGUAUGUCGUAGUCCGGAUUGGAGUCUGCAACUCGACUCCAUGAAGUCGGAAUCGCUAGUAAUCGUAGAUCAGAAUGCUACGGUGAAUACGUUCCCGGGCCUUGUACACACCGCCCGUCACACCAUGGGAGUGGGUUGCAAAAGAAGUAGGUAGCUUAACCUUCGGGAGGGCGCUUACCACUUUGUGAUUCAUGACUGGGGUGAAGUCGUAACAAGGUAACCGUAGGGGAACCUGCGGUUGGAUCACCUCCUUACCUAAAGA